CAGCCGCCGCGGUAAAACGGAGGGAGCUAGCGUUGUUCGGAAUUACUGGGCGUAAAGCGUGCGCAGGCGGUUUGUUAAGACAGAUGUGAAAUCCCCGGGCUCAACCUGGGAACUGCAUUUGUGACUGGCAAGCUAGAGUCUGGCAGAGGGGGGUGUAAUUCCGCGUGUAGCAGUGAAAUGCGUAGAUAUGCGGAGGAACACCGAUGGCGAAGGCAGCCCCCUGGGCCAACACUGACGCUCAUGCACGAAAGCGUGGGGAGCAAACAGGAUUAGAUACCCCAGUAGUCCCUGUCUCUUAUAC
This 301-nucleotide ribosomal RNA is filed under the name uncultured bacterium. RNAcentral describes it as "partial 16S ribosomal RNA". It matches the Rfam family "Bacterial small subunit ribosomal RNA", at positions 509 to 807 of the family's 1533-position model. The record is from RNAcentral.